GGUGAGGUGGCCGAGAGGCUGAAGGCGCUCCCCUGCUAAGGGAGUAUGCGGUUAAUAGCUGCAUCGAGGGUUCGAAUCCCUCCCUCACCCCCA
RNAcentral lists this transfer RNA (93 nucleotides) under Arsenophonus sp. RNAcentral describes it as "tRNA-Ser". It matches the Rfam family "tRNA". Rfam says of the family: Transfer RNA (tRNA) molecules are approximately 80 nucleotides in length. Lineage: Bacteria; Pseudomonadati; Pseudomonadota; Gammaproteobacteria; Enterobacterales; Morganellaceae. The record is from RNAcentral.